Molecule: ribosomal RNA, 433 nt
Filed under: uncultured bacterium
Lineage: Bacteria
Description: partial 16S ribosomal RNA
Rfam family: Bacterial small subunit ribosomal RNA
Source: RNAcentral
AACGAACGCUGGCGGCAUGCCUAACACAUGCAAGUCGAACGAGACCUUCGGGUCUAGUGGCGCACGGGUGCGUAACGCGUGGGAACCUGCCCUUAGGUUCGGAAUAACUCCCCGAAAGGGGUGCUAAUACCGGAUAAUGUCCUCGGACCAAAGAUUUAUCGCCUUUGGAUGGGCCCGCGUUGGAUUAGCUGGUUGGUAGGGUAAAAGCCUACCAAGGCGACGAUCCAUAGCUGGUCUGAGAGGAUGCUCAGCCACACUGGGGCUGAGACACGGCCCAGACUCCUACGGGAGGCAGCAGUGGGGAAUAUUGGCCAAUGGGCUAAAGCCUGAUCCAGCAGUGCCGCGUAAGUGAUGAAGGCCUUAGGGUUGUAAAGCUCUUUUACCCGGGAUGAUAAUGACAGUACCGGGAGAAUAAGCUCCGGCUAACUCCGUG